UGGGGAAUAUUGCACAAUGGGCGCAAGCCUGAUGCAGCCAUGCCGCGUGUAUGAAGAAGGCCUUCGGGUUGUAAAGUACUUUCAUCGGGGAGGAAGGGAGUAAAGUUAAUACCUUUGGUCAUUGACGUUACCCGCAGAAGAAGCACCGGCUAACUCCGUGCCAGCAGCCGCGGUAAUACGGAGGGUGCAAGCGUUAAUCGGAAUUACUGGGCGUAAAGCGCACGCAGGCGGUUUGUUAAGUCAGAUGUGAAAUCCCCGGGCUCAACCUGGGAACUGCAUUUGAUACUGGCAAGCUUGAGUCUGGUAGAGGGGGGUAGAAUUCCAGGUGUAGCGGUGAAAUGCGUAGAGAUCUGGAGGAAUACCGGUGGCGAAGGC
This 375-nucleotide ribosomal RNA is filed under the name uncultured bacterium. RNAcentral's name for it is "bacterial SSU rRNA". It matches the Rfam family "Bacterial small subunit ribosomal RNA", at positions 355 to 722 of the family's 1533-position model. The record is from RNAcentral.